This is a long non-coding RNA of Bubalus bubalis (water buffalo), 1380 nucleotides long. RefSeq lists it as uncharacterized. Lineage: Eukaryota; Metazoa; Chordata; Mammalia; Artiodactyla; Bovidae. The transcript is spliced from 3 exons. The record is from RefSeq and is a predicted model, not a curated record.
UAGGAAACCGCCAACAGCUCUGGGAGAGGGAACCCCCCCGCAAAACUGUUAACAGCCACUUCCGCGGUGGGGAUUCGUUGGCCGCCAGUGCAUUAGGAGUUAGGCCUGGAGAGCAGGACCCAGGAGGCAUGCAGACUGUCUCCUGAGAACCCUAAGAUCCCAGAAGCAUUGAGCUAGAAGGGGUUGUGGAGAGAGCCUCAUUCCAUACCUUCUCCCACCUGACAGAUGGAGAACAGAGGCCAAGAGGAGGAUUGACUUGUACGAAAAGGAAGCAGAUGGAGUAGAAUAAGCAUGACAGAAGUUCACUCAGAGAUUUUCAGAGCCAUGUGCAGGGGCUCACUGGAGCUGGAGUCUUAAAUGAGUCACUUCGACUUUUGGAAUCUCAGUGGUUUCAUGAAUGAUUAAAUAAUGUGCUUUAUACUUGAAGCAAACUAGAAGUGUAAAGAAUUGUUCAUUCAAUUAUAAAAUGCUUUCAUAGCUGUACUGUGUCUCUCCUGGGAAGUACAUGUUUUCUUCAGGACUCUUGGGUUGCAAAUGACAGAGACCCAGUAAAAACUGGCAUAAGCAGGAAUAGGUUCCAGCAUGAUCCAGCAGUUCACGUGAUGGGAAUCAUAUCUGCCCAUGAACCCUGCUUUCCCUUCUGUGGUUAGGUCCAUGCCCAGGCAAGAUAUUCCUAAGCCAUGGCAAGAUGUGUCCAUUGUCUUUGUGAUCAGAGAAUAUGGUCUCUGUGAAACUCAGACUUUGGAAUUUGUGGAAGAUCCAUUUGAGGCCUAGUACAUGGUUCAUUUGCAUAAAUGUGCUUGCAAAGAAUGUGAUUUCCUUGUUAAUGGAAGGAAGUUCUUUCUAUGUCUGUUAGCUCAAGCCUUUUAAUUGCAUUGUUCACAUUUUCUAGAUCAUUACUCUUUUUUUUCCUGUCUACUUGAUCCAUUCAUUUCUAGAAAAAUAUGUUAAAAUCUCCCAUUACGAUUGACUAUGAAGGGAGAUGAGAAAAUUUUAUGGAUUGAUGGUAAUGUUCUGUGUCUUACCUGGAGUUUAGCUUACACAGAUAUAUACAUUUGUCAAAAUUCAGCAAACGUGCACUUAAGAUUUGUGUGUUUCAUUGGAUAUAAAAUUCAUUACAAAUGAAAAAAUUGCAAUCAGAUAAUCAACCUUACUUAAUGAAGUCUUUGAAAAGUGACUGAAUUUACUUUGAAAUGCAUACAAAAUAAGAUGGUGUAAUAAAUGGAUAGAAAGGUGCAGAGGUUGAUAUGUGAAGAAGCAAAUGCAGAGUAAAAGUGUUAUUGGUAGAACUAGACGGUGAGUAUUUGGAUGUAUGCUCUAAGAUUCUUCUAGCUUGUGGUACAUUUGAAAUUUUUCAUUAAAAAAUAUUGGGGAGGAAAA